This 282-nucleotide long non-coding RNA is filed under the name Capsicum annuum. Its description in RNAcentral is "long non-coding RNA (CANN_LNC009822)". The record is from RNAcentral. Lineage: Eukaryota; Viridiplantae; Streptophyta; Magnoliopsida; Solanales; Solanaceae.
UGAGCUGAUAGGUUGCUAACUCCACCCCUUCAACCUCAGCCACAUGCAUCACCUUAAAGAUAUUUUCCAUCUCAUCCACGAACUCCUGUGGAUCUUCCUCCACCUUGGUGCCAGUGAACUUAGGUGGGUUCAUCUUCAUGAAAUGUCCGACUCUAGUAGCCUCAGAUGUAACAGAUGCAGACCCAACAUCUUCCAAUCAUUGAGCUUAGUUGGCUACCAACUGUGUCAGCAUAUGAAUAGACCGCCUGAAUUCUGCAUUUGAAAUAUCUCCCUGAGCAGUUG